This 425-nucleotide ribosomal RNA is filed under the name uncultured bacterium. RNAcentral's name for it is "partial 16S ribosomal RNA". It matches the Rfam family "Bacterial small subunit ribosomal RNA", at positions 354 to 796 of the family's 1533-position model. The record is from RNAcentral.
GUGGGGAAUAUUGGACAAUGGGGGCAACCCUGAUCCAGCAAUGCCGCGUGUGUGAAGAAGGUCUUCGGAUCGUAAAGCACUUUCGACGGGGACGAUGAUGACGGUACCCGUAGAAGAAGCCCCGGCUAACUUCGUGCCAGCAGCCGCGGUAAUACGAAGGGGGCUAGCGUUGCUCGGAAUUACUGGGCGUAAAGGGCGCGUAGGCGGCUCUGUUAGUCAGGCGUGAAAUUCCUGGGCUUAACCUGGGGACUGCGCUUGAUACUGCGGAGCUUGAGGCCGAGAGAGGGUGGUGGAAUUCCCAGUGUAGAGGUGAAAUUCGUAGAUAUUGGGAAGAACACCGGUGGCGAAGGCGACCACCUGGCUCGGUACUGACGCUGAGGCGCGACAGCGUGGGGAGCAAACAGGAUUAGAUACCCUGGUAGUCC